UACAGAGGUGGCAAGCGUUGUCCGGAAUCAUUGGGCGUAAAGAGCGUGUAGGCGGCCCGAUAAGUCCGCCGUGAAAGUCCAGGGCUCAACCCUGGAAUGCCGGUGGAAACUGUCGGGCUGGAGUCCGGAAGAGGCGAGUGGAAUUCCUGGUGUAGCGGUGAAAUGCGCAGAUAUCAGGAGGAACACCAAUUGCGAAGGCAGCUCGCUGGGACGUUACUGACGCUGAGACGCGAAAGCGUGGGGAGCAAACAGG
This 253-nucleotide ribosomal RNA is filed under the name uncultured bacterium. RNAcentral describes it as "partial 16S ribosomal RNA". It matches the Rfam family "Bacterial small subunit ribosomal RNA", at positions 524 to 776 of the family's 1533-position model. The record is from RNAcentral.